This 188-nucleotide small RNA is filed under the name Drosophila guanche. Lineage: Eukaryota; Metazoa; Arthropoda; Insecta; Diptera; Drosophilidae. The record is from RNAcentral.
GCUGCUGUUGCGGGAAUUGUUGCUGCUGUUGCGGGAAUUGUUGCUGCUGUUGCGGGAAUUGUUGCUGCUGUUGCGAGAAUUGUUGCUGCUGGAGGGGAUUCUGUUGCAGAAAUUGCUGCUGUAACUGUCGCUGCUGCUGCAAUGGAUUCUGCUGUAGAAGCUGCUGCUGCUGCAGGUACUGUUGCUGC